ACUAAACGGGCCAGAUGUGGCGCUGACUAAGCGGGCUCCAGCCCGCUGCAAGACGCGCUGUGCAGGAAGUCCCACAGCCGCCCAGGCGCUGCCACUCCAGCCAGAGCUAGUACUCAUGGGCGCCAGACAAGCUGAUGACGAUAAAACGCCACGCCAGUGCCUGGAAAGAAACGCUGCCCAGAAGGAAACCUAGGGGGCCUGCACAGGUGAUGCAAGCGUCAGCCGCAAGUUCAACUUCGGUGACCCACCCUGAACCUCCUCCACUUCACAAAGCGCGCCACCCGCCGACCAGAUGGCAACAAAGUGCUCCAGCUUAGCCGCCUUGAGCUGUGCGGUGAGAAGCUGAGUGGGCAGAGCCGACAGGGUUUCAG
RNAcentral lists this long non-coding RNA (371 nucleotides) under Chlamydomonas reinhardtii. RNAcentral's name for it is "long non-coding RNA (CREI_LNC001384)". The record is from RNAcentral. Lineage: Eukaryota; Viridiplantae; Chlorophyta; Chlorophyceae; Chlamydomonadales; Chlamydomonadaceae.